RNAcentral lists this ribosomal RNA (513 nucleotides) under Jeotgalibacillus sp. CH370c_12T. RNAcentral describes it as "bacterial SSU rRNA". It matches the Rfam family "Bacterial small subunit ribosomal RNA", at positions 59 to 555 of the family's 1533-position model. The record is from RNAcentral. Lineage: Bacteria; Bacillati; Bacillota; Bacilli; Caryophanales; Caryophanaceae.
CAGUCGAGCGGAUUUUCUGGAGCUUGCUCCAGAGAGUUAGCGGCGGACGGGUGAGUAACACGUGGGCAAUCUGCCCGUAAGACUGGGAUAACUCCGGGAAACCGGGGCUAAUACCGGAUAACCCUGACUCUCUCCUGAGAGUCAGUUGAAAGAUGGUUUCGGCUAUCACUUACGGAUGAGCCCGCGGCGCAUUAGCUAGUUGGUGAGGUAACGGCUCACCAAGGCGACGAUGCGUAGCCGACCUGAGAGGGUGAUCGGCCACACUGGGACUGAGACACGGCCCAGACUCCUACGGGAGGCAGCAGUAGGGAAUCUUCCGCAAUGGACGAAAGUCUGACGGAGCAACGCCGCGUGAGUGAAGAAGGUUUUCGGAUCGUAAAACUCUGUUGUCAGGGAAGAACACGUACGAGAGUAACUGCUCGUACCUUGACGGUACCUGACCAGAAAGCCACGGCUAACUACGUGCCAGCAGCCGCGGUAAUACGUAUGUGGCAAGCGUUGUCCGGAAUUAUU